This 491-nucleotide ribosomal RNA is filed under the name uncultured bacterium. RNAcentral's name for it is "partial 16S ribosomal RNA". It matches the Rfam family "Bacterial small subunit ribosomal RNA", at positions 28 to 507 of the family's 1533-position model. The record is from RNAcentral.
GAUGAACGCUGGCUACAGGCUUAACACAUGCAAGUCGAGGGGAAACGACGGGGAAGCUUGCUUCCCCGGGCGUCGACCGGCGCACGGGUGAGUAACGCGUAUCCAACCUGCCUCUGACUGAGGGAUAACCCGUCGAAAGUCGGCCUAAUACCUCAUGGCAUCGUCUGCGGGCAUCCAACGACGAUUAAAGAUUUCAUCGGUCAGAGAUGGGGAUGCGUCUGAUUAGCUUGUUGGCGGGGUAACGGCCCACCAAGGCGACGAUCAGUAGGGGUUCUGAGAGGAAGGUCCCCCACAUUGGAACGGAGACACGGUCCAAACUCCUACGGGAGGCAGCAGUGAGGAAUAUUGGUCAAUGGGCGAGAGCCUGAACCAGCCAAGUAGCGUGCAGGAUGACGGCCCUAUGGGUUGUAAACUGCUUUUAUGCGGGGAUAAAGUGAGGGACGUGUCCUUCAUUGCAGGUACCGCAUGAAUAAGGACCGGCUAAUUCCGUG